This 468-nucleotide ribosomal RNA is filed under the name uncultured bacterium. RNAcentral describes it as "partial 16S ribosomal RNA". It matches the Rfam family "Bacterial small subunit ribosomal RNA", at positions 28 to 507 of the family's 1533-position model. The record is from RNAcentral.
GACGAACGCUGGCGGCGUGCUUAACACAUGCAAGUCGAACGGAAAGGCCCUGCUUUUGUGGGGUGCUCGAGUGGCGAACGGGUGAGUAACACGUGAGUAACCUGCCCUUGACUUUGGGAUAACUUCAGGAAACUGGGGCUAAUACCGGAUAGGAGCUCCUGCUGCAUGGUGGGGGUUGGAAAGUUUCGGCGGUUGGGGAUGGACUCGCGGCUUAUCAGCUUGUUGGUGGGGUAGUGGCUUACCAAGGCUUUGACGGGUAGCCGGCAUGAGAGGGUGACCGGCCACAUUGGGACUGAGAUCCGGCCCAGACUCCUACGGGAGGCAGCAGUGGGGAAUAUUGCACAAUGGGCGGAAGCCUGAUGCAGCAACGCCGCGUGCGGGAUGACGGCCUUCGGGUUGUAAACCGCUUUCGCCUGUGACGAAGCGUGAGUGACGGUAAUGGGUAAAGAAGCACCGGCUAACUACGUG